Long non-coding RNA from Oryzias melastigma (Indian medaka), 1400 nucleotides. RefSeq lists it as uncharacterized. Lineage: Eukaryota; Metazoa; Chordata; Actinopteri; Beloniformes; Adrianichthyidae. The record is from RefSeq and is a predicted model, not a curated record. The transcript is spliced from 3 exons.
AAUCGCGCGCAUGUAUAUUACGUCACUUCCUCUUCACCGCCAACAUUUGCGACGGUGGAGAGUUUUGGAUUUGAUUUCCGACACUUGGGUGAUCGGGUAUCCGAAACAGAGAUCCGACAACUGUAUAUUUAACAGCUGAUCGCCACAGUCGCUACUAUUCCACAAACCAUAUUCCAAAAACAUCAAUUCUUCUCUCAGUAACGGAUCUCCUCCUUCAACAGAGUCACCACGUUCAAAGGAUGACUGCAGUUACAACCUGAAAGAUGGAAUAUGUCCUGGACAAAAACUUUAACCGGGUCCCCAAUUGGUUUUUCUGUUUCUGGUCUCCCAGGACUUGAACCAGGGACCCUCUUACUGUGAGACAAGAGUGCUGACCACUGUGCAUCUCUAUUUUUUUUUUUUCUUUUUCUCAUUUUUUUUCACAGACAACAACUAAUGUUCAUCACAAAAAGGGAAGCAGUUCUCAGAGAAUUUUGUUGCUACCUGGGGGAAGAUGAUGGGUGUCUAAUUCAUGAGUACAAGGACAUCCACUGUGAUGACAUCCAGAGAGACACGGAGAAGCACAGCAUUGGUGUUUGUCAUCAAAAAGGAAGGCGCUGAAAGAGAAGAUCCAGCAGAUGUCGGCGUUUUCUUGAAGGUGUGAUUCUACUGGAAAACCUGAGAUCUCCAGCCAGAGCAUGAGCAGCAAUGCUUGGAGGAAUCUAUGCAGUGAACUUGGCUUACCCAGAAGAACUGAGAUACCAGUAUAAAUUCAUUCAGAAGGUGGUCAUGCAAAUGGAUGGGGAAAAGCUUUCCCCAAAAGUCCAUGGGUUCAAGAAAAAAACUUUGCACAGAACUCUGCAACACUGAAACCAAACUUCUGGAUAUGUCUGAGAUGUUGUAUGUGAUUUGAAGACUGUUGGACAAAUGACCAAAAAGCCUUAGAGGCUGCAAUACCCAAAAGUUGUUUUAUGUUGUGCUGUGGAAGUCUCUUUUGUUUAUAUCAACAUACUUUGGGAUUGUGGUUGCCAUUUUCACUGUUUUAUGAUAUUGUGUUGUAUAUACAACUGCAAAAUUCUUUCUUUGUUUAGUAUGAUGUUUCAUUUAUGUCAAAACUCCACGCAGAACGUCAUAGUUUAGAGAAUGUUUAUUUUUCACUGAGCUCUGCACUGAUUAUUGUUCAGUCAGAGUUGUGAUGUUGUAUUUACAUUUUUUUAUAUAAACUUGAGGAGACAUCUACUAAUUAAAGCUGCAUUCUUGUAUGCCGUUUUAAGUUUAAAUAACCUAAUAAGUCAUUUUGACUUCCGAACAGUAUGAUGACACGUUUAGAUUUGGGGUAUUGUUUAAACAAAGCCUGAUGAAUGUUAGUUUAAAGAAAUUGCUUGAUACCAGAUUUGUUUAAUAAAACAUUUUUGAUACUA